RNAcentral lists this long non-coding RNA (1272 nucleotides) under Polistes fuscatus (common paper wasp). RNAcentral's name for it is "uncharacterized LOC122521337". Lineage: Eukaryota; Metazoa; Arthropoda; Insecta; Hymenoptera; Vespidae. The record is from RNAcentral.
UAUAAUCAUUGAAAAAAAAAUUCGAAUUUUUAUUAUUAACAUAAAAGUUUUUAUCAUCAAAAGAAGAUUCUCUACUUUAAAAACAAAAAUUCUCGUCCUUACAUUUUCUUUUCUUUUUAAUCAUAAAAACAUUCCCUCUUUCAUAUCGAUUAUUGAUCCUACUUCUCUUUAUAUUUAUUUAUUUUACUUUAUCUUCUCCCACCGCAAGAAUUCUUAAUAUUACCACCUUUUUAUUUCUCCGUGGAUUUUGUCGUCAAGCGAAAGACCAAUUCUUAGGGAGUAGUAUUCGCCAAGCAAUCGUACAAACCGGUCGUGCUCGACGUGACAAGUUAGCCUAAGGCAAGAUCUAUUGAAAAUAUAACAAUAGAAGGUAUCUUUUGGCAAGCUACCAGUAAAGAGAAAGUGGACUUUCUUCAGAGUCGUACCAAGAGAAAGCAAUUUUGUAUAAAUUCAUCAAUUUUAUUCAUAGAAAGAAAUAUCAAAGAAUCGAAAAUAUUGAUUAAAAUAUUUCAGCGCACGAAUAAAGUAUAAGGACUCAUUUGAAAUCGUUCGAAAGUAGUUUUGAAACGAUUUCAUUUAGAUAAUCGGUAUCGAAGGAGAAUAAAUGAAUUUGAAAAAAAAAUAGGAGAAGAGAAAGUAAGUAAGCAAAAGCAAUCGUCUCUGUUGAAUACUGUACGUUAGCUAAUCGUAUGACCCUGUCCCGUUAGGCAGUGGUGUUCAGUGAAGUUCACGGCCAAAAACACACGGGGUCGCUGAGUUCUGUAGUUGCUGAAUCCAAGCGAUAACGUCCUAAGUUCUAUAUAUAAACUGCAUAUACCUCUCUCUUCUUCUUCUUCUAUCUUUCUUUCUCAUUCUAUCACUCACUUGGACUAUCCUCAGUAUACCAUCGCAAUGUAACGCAGAAACGAUAUAAGUCACUCGGCCGAGUGGCACCGGUAGUCGCGUGUAGUUAAAACGAUCUUAAACGACUUUGGGACGUGACGCGAUAAACGAAGAAAACGAGAGACAGAGACAGAAGUAGAGAACUGAUUGAGAUGUUCCGUGGAGGAGAUCAAGAAGAAAGAUAAAUACGUAGUGGUCUGAGUUUCGUUCACAUCGAAAGUCAGCUAGCUGGAUAUCUUCUUAUAGUCUUUCAAAAGAAACUCAAAAUAACAUUUUCUAAGUGGAAAAUUAAGGUUUCCUGUUAAUAUUUACUAGCGAGAUUGAAGAAACAAAGAUGGACAACAUAAAAGUACCACCAAGUUUUAUAAAGAACAACAACAACAAUAAUAA